RNAcentral lists this long non-coding RNA (209 nucleotides) under Nicotiana benthamiana. RNAcentral describes it as "long non-coding RNA (NBEN_LNC019329)". The record is from RNAcentral. Lineage: Eukaryota; Viridiplantae; Streptophyta; Magnoliopsida; Solanales; Solanaceae.
UCGUGUGUGUCCGGCUGUUUCUGGACAACAAAGAGUGGCGGGACAAGGAGCAGCGGCUGAAGCUCUGUGGGGUGCUUACGGAGGAAGAAGAAGGGUUGCAACCUUGGCGCGACGGUAGUGAUGGCGGAUUGAGGCGGCGGUUCUUCAGGUGUAGGCGACAGAUUUCAGGUGUUAGCUCUUGUUUCUAAGGUUCUAGGGUUAGGUUGUUC